CUGUGUGUAGAUAUACAUAGUUUAGCCUGCUCACUGAUUAAUAUUAAAGAGCCGCAGUAUUCUGACUGUGCGAAGGUAGCAUAAUAGAUUGUCUUUUAAAUGGAGGCUUGAAUGAACGGUUGGACAAAGUAUCAUCUGUUUCUUAAAUUAAUAUUGAAUUUGACUUUUAAGUGAAAAGGCUUAAAUAAUUCAAAAAGACGAUAAGACCCUAUAAAUCUUUACAAAAUAUAUAUUUUAAGUUUUAGUUUGUAUGUUAAUAAAACAUAAAAUGUAUUUUUGUUGCGCUGGGGCGGUGUAGAUAUAUAAAUAAACUGUUUAUAAGUUAAAAUCAAUUAUUAUUGUUUAGUAGAUUUGAUCCUUUGAUAGAUUAAAAGAUUAAGAUACUUUAGGGAUAACAGCGUUAUUUUUUCUGAGAGUUCUUAUCGAAGAAAAAGUUUGCGACCUCGAUGUUGAAUUAAAGUUUCUUUGCGGUGUAGCAGCUGUAAGAGAGAGUCUGUUCGACUUUUAAUACUUUACAUGAUUU
This 523-nucleotide ribosomal RNA is filed under the name Pagurus forceps. RNAcentral's name for it is "partial 16S ribosomal RNA". It matches the Rfam family "Bacterial large subunit ribosomal RNA", at positions 1833 to 2606 of the family's 2925-position model. The record is from RNAcentral. Lineage: Eukaryota; Metazoa; Arthropoda; Malacostraca; Decapoda; Paguridae.